CACGAGCGGCGAACGGGUGAGUAACACGUGAGUAACCUGCCCCUGACUCUGGGAUAAGCCGGGGAAACCCGGUCUAAUACCGGAUACGACACUCCUCUGCAUGGUGGGGUGUGGAAAGUUGUUUCGGUUGGGGAUGGACUCGCGGCCUAUCAGCUUGUUGGUGGGGUAACGGCCUACCAAGGCGAUUACGGGUAGCCGGCCUGAGAGGGCGACCGGCCACACUGGGACUGAGACACGGCCCAGACUCCUGCGGGAGGCAGCAGUGGGGAAUAUUGCGCAAUGGGCGGAAGCCUGACGCAGCGACGCCGCGUGGGGGAUGACGGCCUUCGGGUUGUAAACCUCUUUUACCACUCACGCAGGCCCCGGGUGUUCUCGGGGUUGACGGUAGGUGGGGAAUAAGGACCGGCUAACUACGUGCCAGCAGCCGCGGUAAUACGUAGGGUCCGAGCGUUGUCCGGAAUUAUUGGGCGUAAAGAGCUCGUAGGCGGUGUGUCGCGUCUGCUGUGA
This 507-nucleotide ribosomal RNA is filed under the name Nocardiopsis rhodophaea. RNAcentral describes it as "bacterial SSU rRNA". It matches the Rfam family "Bacterial small subunit ribosomal RNA", at positions 90 to 597 of the family's 1533-position model. The record is from RNAcentral. Lineage: Bacteria; Bacillati; Actinomycetota; Actinomycetes; Streptosporangiales; Nocardiopsidaceae.